This 349-nucleotide ribosomal RNA is filed under the name uncultured Pelotomaculum sp. RNAcentral describes it as "bacterial SSU rRNA". It matches the Rfam family "Bacterial small subunit ribosomal RNA", at positions 1032 to 1382 of the family's 1533-position model. The record is from RNAcentral. Lineage: Bacteria; Bacillati; Bacillota; Clostridia; Eubacteriales; Desulfotomaculaceae.
AGACAGGUGGUGCAUGGUUGUCGUCAGCUCGUGUCGUGAGAUGUUGGGUUAAGUCCCGCAACGAGCGCAACCCUACGUUAGUUGCUAACACGUGAAGGCGAGCACUCUAGACGAACUGCCGUUGACAAAACGGAGGAAGGUGGGGAUGACGUCAAAUCAUCAUGCCCCUUAUGUUCUGGGCUACACACGUGCUACAAUGGCCGGUACAGACGGACGCAAGGCCGCGAGGUGGAGCAAAUCCUAAAAAGCCGGUCUCAGUUCGGAUUGCAGGCUGCAAUUCGCCUGCAUGAAGUCGGAAUCGCUAGUAAUCGCAGGUCAGCAUACUGCGGUGAAUACGUUCCCGGGCCUU